This 374-nucleotide ribosomal RNA is filed under the name uncultured organism. RNAcentral's name for it is "partial 16S ribosomal RNA". It matches the Rfam family "Bacterial small subunit ribosomal RNA", at positions 527 to 896 of the family's 1533-position model. The record is from RNAcentral.
GUAGGUGGCAAGCGUUGUCCGGAAUUGUUGGGCGUAAAGCGCGCGCAGGCGGUUCUUUAAGUCUGAUGUGAAAGCCCACGGCUCAACCGUGGAGGGUCAUUGGAAACUGGAGAACUUGAGUACAGAAGAGGAAAGCGGAAUUCCACGUGUAGCGGUGAAAUGCGUAGAGAUGUGGAGGAACACCAGUGGCGAAGGCGGCUUUCUGGUCUGUAACUGACGCUGAGGCGCGAAAGCGUGGGGAGCAAACAGGAUUAGAUACCCUGGUAGUCCACGCCGUAAACGAUGAGUGCUAAGUGUUAGGGGGGUUUUCCGCCCCCCUUAGUGCUGCAGCUAACGCAUUAAGCACUCCGCCUGGGAGUACGGCCGCAAGGCUG